RNAcentral lists this small nucleolar RNA (169 nucleotides) under Schizosaccharomyces octosporus yFS286. RNAcentral describes it as "small nucleolar RNA snR35". It matches the Rfam family "small nucleolar RNA snR35". The record is from RNAcentral. Lineage: Eukaryota; Fungi; Ascomycota; Schizosaccharomycetes; Schizosaccharomycetales; Schizosaccharomycetaceae.
AUCGUGCGGUUAUAUACCGACGCCCACAUUCGUGUUGCUCGCUUUUCGUUAAAUACCAUGGAAUGGUUUGAGCGUCAGUCGUGGGCCAGAGUCAAAUGGACGUCUUAGCAUCCAUACAGUGACCUGUUAAAUAUAAACGGGUCAUUGUGGAUCGGUGGUUCAGAAAUGU